CUAACAGCUAUCAAUUGUAUUUAAUAGUUAAACUAAACAGUCCCUAAGUCUUAUAAUUUCUUCAUCUGAGAUACAGAACAUGUAUCCUCAAUGGAAAAAAAAUGUAUCCUAUAUGGUAUGAUGCAUUUGGCUAAGUGUGAUACCCAUGAAAAAAUUUAUAAAAUCUGUCUGGUUGGAAAGACUUGAGAAAUCAUUUUCACUUCACUAUACUGGAAAAGAGAACUUGUUUGUGUAGGUUUUCAGUGUUUUAUCUUAAACCUGUCGUUGCCAGGUCUUAUAUCACUGGAAUUUCAGAAGCUCCUUCGGUCUUCUGUAAUAUCAUCGGCUUAGUUAUAUAUCUAGGACUCCGUACAGAAGUAGUUGUCAAGGGCUCUGAUUACCAAGUCCGACACAAAAACAAUCUUAAAUAUUCAUGUUGCCCAGUACCCCCCACCAAAAAGACAAAUCAAUGGCUCAGCUUGAUAAACAUCAUUAACUCACACAGGGAUAAAGGCUCCCAGAAACACUUUUUCCUUCUCCAAUCUAAAAUUCCCUAUACUACAGUUUUUCUUUCAGCAUUAGAAAAUUUCCUAUGCUAUCAACAAUCCUAAGCCAUAUUGGAACAUUCUAUACCUCUCACUAGUGAAGCUUUGUGCCUCUGAAUCAUAAAGUGCAGUGUAAAUGUUGGAUGGCAUCGCAUAACUCUACAAAGGAAAGAGGAAAACUCUACAGAAUUUGAUAGAUCUGCAACCAACAUCACCAAUUUUGGGGAUAAUUUAACUAGCACCAUUUAAGAAAGUCUUCAUUAUUGACUAGUUUCUGCUGGUCGUGUGAAACUGUUGGAUCAUUUAUAGUUAGCUACCUGUCUGUGGCCCACUUCAACCUGAUUUAAGUCCUCUUCAUUUUCCAUCACCAUUUGAUGCCUGGAAGGAAGACGAGACUUAUUUUGCAAACUUUAAUCAAAGCUGCAUUUUGUGGGCCCCCAACAAUUGCAGCUAUUCUUAAAGAAAUUCUUACUCUGUACAAGAUCUUGCUUGAGCGUUCACCACUGGAUUCCUUCCAUGAUGUCAAGAUCAAGAACUUGAAUCUCACAUUCUACUUUGGUUGCCUCAAGGAUUGCUUGAUUGGCAGUGAAUUACACAAAUUUUACUCAUGGGAAGGAGCAUAUGGAACGUAAACAUGCAAAUUUUCCGCGCAGGAACAAGCCUAUGCGUGGUUGCAAAUUUUUGCGACUAUGUAGCAUGAGGCUAGUUGGAAUCUUCAACAGCCUGGACUGCUGUCAAUAGAAGAUCAGUCAAGGUUAGCAGGCUGGUCAUAGUCUACUGGAUGAGUGGAUGAAGACUGAGAACCAAAAUUGUGCUUAUAGGAUGCUUGUCAGCAGGUUUCCAGAAUUUGAGCAAAACUCAUUCUUCUUAUCGGA
Long non-coding RNA from Hevea brasiliensis (rubber tree), 1399 nucleotides. RefSeq lists it as uncharacterized. NCBI's taxonomy places the organism in Eukaryota, Viridiplantae, Streptophyta, Magnoliopsida, Malpighiales, Euphorbiaceae. The transcript is spliced from 2 exons. The record is from RefSeq and is a predicted model, not a curated record.